GACGAACGCUGGCGGCGUGCUUAACACAUGCAAGUCGAACGGAAAGGCCCUGCUUUUGUGGGGUGCUCGAGUGGCGAACGGGUGAGUAACACGUGAGUAACCUGCCCUUGACUUUGGGAUAACUUCAGGAAACUGGGGCUAAUACCGGAUAGGAGCUCCUGCUGCAUGGUGGGGGUUGGAAAGUUUCGGCGGUUGGGGUUGGACUCGCGGCUUAUCAGCUUGUUGGUGGUGUAGUGGCUUACCAAGGCUUUGACGGGUAGCCGGCCUGAGAGGGUGACCGGCCACAUUGGGACUGACAUGCGGCCAAGCCUCCUACGGGAGGCAGCAGUGAGGACGAUUGCACAAUGGGCGGAAGCCUGAUGCAGCAACGCCGCGUGCGGGAUGACGCCCUUCGGGUUGUAAACCGCUUUCGCCUGUGACGAAGCGUGAGUGACGGUAAUGGGUAAAGAAGCACCGGCUAACUACGUG
Molecule: ribosomal RNA, 468 nt
Filed under: uncultured bacterium
Lineage: Bacteria
Description: partial 16S ribosomal RNA
Rfam family: Bacterial small subunit ribosomal RNA
Source: RNAcentral